UACUAGAAUAUUAAAAGUUAUGGCCUUUAAAUUUAAAAAAUUUGGCGGUGUUUUAGUCUAGUUAGAGGAACCUGUUUUAUAAACGAUACAACACGCAUUAUUUUACUUAUUUUAGUGGAGCAGUUUGUAUACCGUCAUUAUAAGAUAAUUUAGGAGAAAAUAUUAUUGGAAUCGUAUUUGUGAAUAUAUUAGAUCAAGGUGCAGCUUAUAGAUAAGUAAAUAUGGGUUACAAUAAAAUUAAUUUAAUAUGAAUUAAGUAUUUAAAUAUAUUUAUGAAGGAGGAUUUAAUUGUAAGGGAAGGAGUAGUGAGAUUUUCUGAUAAAAGCUCUAAAUUAUGUACAUAUCGCCCGUCGCUC
Molecule: ribosomal RNA, 356 nt
Filed under: Cambarellus patzcuarensis
Lineage: Eukaryota; Metazoa; Arthropoda; Malacostraca; Decapoda; Cambaridae
Description: partial 12S ribosomal RNA
Source: RNAcentral